Molecule: long non-coding RNA, 2865 nt
Filed under: Carassius auratus (goldfish)
Lineage: Eukaryota; Metazoa; Chordata; Actinopteri; Cypriniformes; Cyprinidae
Description: lncRNA (ENSCARG00000003803.1)
Source: RNAcentral
AUGGAGUACCUGAAGGAGCAGUAUAUGCUUAAACACGCCACUCUGAUGGUGUUUCACAGUCACUCUAAUGUUUACGUGUCUCCGCUCUCUUUUCUGCAUGCGAAGGUGACUCCCACCAAAACAAGCAAAGAAGCCAAAGCCACUCCAGAUGCUUCAAAAGAGCAGUCACAGAAAGAGACCCCACCAGCACCAUCAACAAAUGUACAGGAAGCACCCAAGGCACCUCCUCCUCCUCCCCCAGCACCACCGAAGAUGGAAAGCAAAGCAGAGCCGGCGGUGAAGAAAGAGGAAACAUCUGCAACAAAAGCAGCAACAGCAGCUGCAACAAAAGCAGAGGGAUCUGCCAAGAGCAAAACUAAAGACAGUGCAUUAAGCAAACUCUUCCGUUCAAAGCCUGUUGUGGUGGAAGAGAAAAAGCCGGUUGAGGUGCAGGUCGACGCGUCUAAGACCAGCACUCUUGAGGCCACAGCCAAACCUGAAGAACCUCCAGCGCCAAAAACAGAGGAGAAGAAAACUGAGAAGAAAUCCACUUUUGGAAAAAUGUUCAAACCCAAGGUUCUGCUCGGCCAGGUGAGCAGCAGGAUCCAGGCCGCGGCGUCCAGCGCUGCCGCCAGCAUCUCCCUCAUGUCUGCUGCAGCGGCACCAGAGUCCAAGAAGGAGACUCCAGCUGCUCCUCCCGUGGCAGAAGCUGCUCCACCCGCGAAGGCCAAAGAGGAGCCGAGACCCUCCACUCCUGUAACGCAAGGGGCCCUGGACAACAAAUCAGCCGACAGCACAGAGAACGCCUCCCCCAACAUGCCCCGCAAGCUGGAGAAGAGGAACUCCCUCCAGCUGUUCUUCAAAAACCUGGGCCAAAAACGCCAUUCUGAUGCCGGAGUGCAAACGGACCCUGUGGCACCCGAGAAGGCCAAAUAAAACCCUGCCUUUGUUUUGAUCGCUCAUCUGUGCCAAAACCAUUGGCAGCCAUGCACAUAAGAACAUAUUUACCAAAGUUGGGAGGUAUUAUGCUGAUUUGCAAGGCCAAAGUUUGAAGUAACUAUGAAAUUAUAAUCUGAAUCUCCAUGCAUUUAGUGAGAGCAGAAGUAAGUGUAACGAUCUCCCUGUUAAGCAAGUGCUACGUGUGUUUAUGACCAGAGGGAGGAACUUGUGUUGUUUUUCACAGAGAAACGUGUCAGAGUUGUUUGGUGUGGCAUGAGAUGGAAAAGUGAAAGUGAAAAUGUUAUCCUGCAUUGAAGAUAAACUCCCUUUUUUAUGUGCAUGUUACAAUGUUAACUAUACUAACACUACUCAUAUUGCAUCACGCAUUAAAUCCGCUGCAUUAAGAUGCCUUUUCCCCGGGAUAAAGCAAACAUCAUGUGCGUUUGCAUGUGAAAAGAAUCUAUUUAUGUAAUCAUACACUAUCUGAUUGUGAAAACAUUGACCCGUCGUCUGCUGAUUUCAAUCACUGAAACCUAUAAAGCCAAUUUGAAUUCCACUUGAAUUCCAUGCAAAACUUCUGCAUCACUUUAAUAAAUCCAUAGAAAUCACAAGUAUUUAUUUAACAUAAUGUCAAUCAAAUAGAGCACCAUAUAUUAUUAUUCCAAUUUAUUUGGUUAUUUAAGUUAAGCCCAGUUUCUAUAUAGAAUAAUAAUAAUAAUAAUAAUAAUUGUUUUCAUUUCUAAGAUUGUUUAUUAAACAUAACUUACUAACUAAACCACAUUACAAUUAUUGUCUUUUUAUUUGCUUGGCCGUCCAGUUCUGACCAGAGUAGACUAAAAAGAAAUUAAGCUAGUAAAAUAUUUUCUUUUCUUUCUUAUUUUCUGAAAAUUUUAGUUUUUAUUAGAACAGUAUGAAAUAAAUAUGCGUUAUACAGUUAUGCAAUAUAUAAUGUACAUUCAACUCAGCUGUAAUCACAUGUGUUUUAUGAUUUUCUUCCUAAUUAUCACUACAUUUGUAAAGAAUAGAUGGGCCUAAUUCAGAAUUUAGACAAUAUCCAUGAAUCGUAGACUUUCUGUAUCUCUUUUGUUGCAUUUUUGUCUAUUUAACCAAUUUAUAAAAAUAAAAUAAUUAUUUCUCUCCUCUGUAAAAUGACUCGUUCUGUAUUUACAACAUGAAGACAUUUAAAAUAUAUAGUUUUACGUUUUCCUGGGGGGGGGGGGGGUUUGCUGGUAUAGGUUUCCACAUGGCUAUAUACUGUAUGUAUAUAUAUAUAUAUAUAUAUAUAUAUAUAUAUAAAGAGGGCAUGUGUCAGGACCGCCUACAGGGCAGCAGGGGUGAACUGGCCAUCAGUGUGAUCUGGAGAAUCACAGAAAGGCCGGCCCACCACCCACCAAGCACGCAGUCAUCACCUCAUUCAGACUAUAAGUUGCACAUAAGUAUAAGUCGCAUCAGUCCAAAAAUACGUCAUGACGAGGAAAAAAACAUAUAAAUCGCACUGGAUUGUAAGUCGCAUUUAUUUAGAACCAAGAACCAAGAGAAAACAUUAUCGUCUACAGAGAGGGCGCUCUAUGUCUUCAGUGUAGACUACAGGAACACUGAGCAGCAUAGAGCGUCCUCUCGCGGCUGGAGACGGUAAUGUUUUAUCUUAGUUCAUUUCUCUUAGUUCAUUUCUCUAGGUUCAUGUCAAAUUAAUUUGGAUAAAUAAGUCGCACCUGACUAUAAGUCGCAGGACCUGCCAAAUUAUGAAAAAAAAGUGCAACUUAUAGUCCGGAAAAUACAGUAAGUAUGGAACAUGAGAGGAGAAAGAGUUACUUGCUAGGGAUGAUGUUAGGAAGUGAUAUUCAGGUUGCUACAUUUUUAAUGAUUACAGUAGUUAAAACAGCUAAACUUCAACAUCUUAGCUGUAAAAUGCCACAUGCAGUAGCUAAUAUUAAGAAAUAUUUUGUG